GACGAACGCUGGCGGCGUGCUUAACACAUGCAAGUCGAGCGAGGCCCAUCCUUCGGGGUGGUGCCCUAGCGGCGAACGGGUGAGUAACACGUGGGCAACCUGCCCUCAGCUCUGGGAUAACUCCAAGAAAUUGGUGCUAAUACCGGAUGUGACCGCUGACCGCAUGGUCUGGUGGUGGAAAGAUUCAUCGGCUGAGGAUGGGCCCGCGGCCUAUCAGCUUGUUGGUGGGGUAAUGGCCCACCAAGGCGACGACGGGUAGCCGGCCUGAGGGGGUGACCGGCCACACUGGGACUGAGACACGGCCCAGACUCCUACGGGAGGCAGCAGUGGGGAAUAUUGCGCAAUGGGCGGAAGCCUGACGCAGCGACGCCGCGUGAGGGAUGACGGCCUUCGGGUUGUAAACCUCUUUCAGUAGGGACGAAGCGAAAGUGACGGUACCUACAGAAGAAGCACCGGCCAACUACGUG
RNAcentral lists this ribosomal RNA (467 nucleotides) under uncultured bacterium. RNAcentral describes it as "partial 16S ribosomal RNA". It matches the Rfam family "Bacterial small subunit ribosomal RNA", at positions 28 to 507 of the family's 1533-position model. The record is from RNAcentral.